UACAGAGGUCCCAAGCGUUGUUCGGAUUCAUUGGGCGUAAAGGGUGCGUAGGCGGCGCGGUAAGUCGGGUGUGAAAGCCCCGGGCUCAACCUGGGAAUGCCAUUCGAGACUGCAUAGCUAGGGUGCGGAAGAGGGAAGCGGAAUUUCCGGUGUAGCGGUGAAAUGCGUAGAUAUCGGAAGGAACACCAGUGGCGAAAGCGGCUUCCUGGUCCAGCACCGACGUUCAGGCACGAAAGCGUGGGGAGCAAACAGG
This 253-nucleotide ribosomal RNA is filed under the name uncultured bacterium. RNAcentral describes it as "partial 16S ribosomal RNA". It matches the Rfam family "Bacterial small subunit ribosomal RNA", at positions 524 to 776 of the family's 1533-position model. The record is from RNAcentral.